This 354-nucleotide ribosomal RNA is filed under the name uncultured bacterium. RNAcentral's name for it is "bacterial SSU rRNA". It matches the Rfam family "Bacterial small subunit ribosomal RNA", at positions 8 to 350 of the family's 1533-position model. The record is from RNAcentral.
AGAGUUUGAUCAUGGCUCAGGAUGAACGCUAGCUACAGGCUUAACACAUGCAAGUCGAGGGGAAACGACAUCGAAAGCUUGCUUUUGAUGGGCGUCGACCGGCGCACGGGUGAGUAACGCGUAUCCAACCUGCCCAUCACUUGGGGAUAACCUUGCGAAAGUAAGACUAAUACCCAAUGACGUCUCUAGAAGACAUCUGAAAGAGAUUAAAAGAUUUAUCGGUGAUGGAUGGGGAUGCGUCUGAUUAGCUUGUUGGCGGGGUAACGCCCACCAAGGCGACGAUCGAGUAGGGGUUCUGAGAGGAAGGUCCCCACAUUGGAACUGAGACACGGUCCAAAACUCCGUACGGAGGCA